GGAUAGACUUUUCUCGUUACGUUACAUGUGUUGGUGGGAGCUAGUAUGUACAAGUGGAAUCAGUUGAGGUAUGUGCGAGCUGGUUCAAACACAAGUGUUAAUAAAACAAGCAAAAAAAGAAUCCGAAAUUGGUUGGAUUUACACUAUGUUGUAAAAGUUGGUUUCUUUAUGUAUCAAUUGAGCUAAAGUUUAGUUGGAUUGUUAUUGCAAAUGGUGAG
RNAcentral lists this unclassified non-coding RNA (218 nucleotides) under Hevea brasiliensis (rubber tree). Lineage: Eukaryota; Viridiplantae; Streptophyta; Magnoliopsida; Malpighiales; Euphorbiaceae. The record is from RNAcentral.